This 873-nucleotide long non-coding RNA is filed under the name Marmota monax (woodchuck). The record is from RNAcentral. Lineage: Eukaryota; Metazoa; Chordata; Mammalia; Rodentia; Sciuridae.
UUUUUUUUUCCCUGUAAGUUUGUUUUCCAAUGGUAAAAGUAGAUUAAUGUUCAUAAUUAAAUCAAUAAUUUACAAAUAAAACCUAAACCCAUAAACAAAAUCUUGCCAAUGUCCCUUCAUCUCAACUGUAUACCAGGUGAAAAUUUCUUUAUUUGCGAGAUAGCUGUUUGUAAUAUAUUUGUAGUUAGUAGAGUUGCUUAUUUUAAUAUAUAUUUAUCAUUUUGAAUAAGUUACAUAUUGACUCAUAGCAAUGAUAAUGUGCUUUACGUGUUUAUGCUACUUUUCACUGAGUAUUUUGGCAAAGCUGGGGGGCCACCAUGUGAUGUGGUCUUUGUGGCCUGUGGUCAAAGCACUGGGCUAAAAUUCUAAGACCCAAGUCCAGCCUUCAUCCUUUCUCUGCUAUUUUUAACAUCUGAGCUACAAGUAAUUACUUUUAGUACACUAGUAACAACUUAUCACUCUCAUACUCCAAAAGAAAAAUGUUAUACUGAUAACAUUCCCUGAAAUGUUAUUAAUUUUGGAGGUUGAAUAGUCCCUGAAAGUGCUAUUACUUUUUUUUUUUUCUUUUUGUCAUGGCUAACAGGAAUAUUGAAAAAAAUGAUGCUAGAUUUUAAGCAAAAAAAUGCUUUCUUUCAAAUAAAUUGAUAUUCCCUAACCCACCUACAUUUCAGGUAGAUACAAGCAGAAGAACAAAAGAGUUCCUUUAACUUCGUGCAAUUGCCUACUGAGAGUAAAAAUUUAUGUUUCUUAGGAUAUAGUAAAAGGGUUGGAGAGAAAGCAAGUGAAGCUAUAAAUGUAUUUGCCUGCCAAAAUAUGUAAUAAGUCAGUACAAAGUACUCCAUCUCAUUUUUUAACAUGGAUAUUUAAACAAAG